This 284-nucleotide ribosomal RNA is filed under the name Streptomyces sp. AEFO6. Its description in RNAcentral is "partial 16S ribosomal RNA". It matches the Rfam family "Bacterial small subunit ribosomal RNA", at positions 1246 to 1533 of the family's 1533-position model. Lineage: Bacteria; Bacillati; Actinomycetota; Actinomycetes; Kitasatosporales; Streptomycetaceae. The record is from RNAcentral.
GCUGCCAUCCGCGAGGUGGAGCUAAUCUCAAAAAGCCGGUCUCAGUUCGGAUUGGGGUCUGCAACUCGACUCCAUGAAGUCGGAAUCGCUAGUAAUCGCAGAUCAGCAUUGCUGGGGAAAUACUUUCCCGGGCUUUGACCACCCCCCCCGCACCGUCACGAAAGUGGUUUACCCCCAAGGGCGGUGGCCAACCCCCUUGAGGGAGGUAGCUGUCGAAGGUGUCACUGCUGGUUGGAACGAAUUCCUAACAAGGCAUCCGUAACGGAAGGGGUGGAUGAAUCCCU